UACGAAGGGGGCUAGCGUUGCUCGGAAUCACUGGGCGUAAAGGGUGCGUAGGCGGGUCUUUAAGUCAGGGGUGAAAUCCUGGAGCUCAACUCCAGAACUGCCUUUGAUACUGAAGAUCUUGAGUUCGGGAGAGGUGAGUGGAACUGCGAGUGUAGAGGUGAAAUUCGUAGAUAUUCGCAAGAACACCAGUGGCGAAGGCGGCUCACUGGCCCGAUACUGACGCUGAGGCAGGAAAG
This 236-nucleotide ribosomal RNA is filed under the name uncultured bacterium. RNAcentral's name for it is "partial 16S ribosomal RNA". It matches the Rfam family "Bacterial small subunit ribosomal RNA", at positions 524 to 759 of the family's 1533-position model. The record is from RNAcentral.